UACAGAGGUCUCAAGCGUUGUUCGGAUUCAUUGGGCGUAAAGGGUGCGUAGGCGGCGCGGUAAGUCGGAUGUGAAAUCUCGGAGCUUAACUUCGAAACUGCAUUCGAUACUGCCGUGCUUGAGGACUGGAGAGGGAUGUGGAAUUCCAGGUGUAGCGGUGAAAUGCGUAGAUAUCUGGAGGAACACCGGUGGCGAAGGCGACAUCCUGGACCGGUAUUGACGCUGAGGCGCGAAAGCCAGGGGAGCAAACGGG
RNAcentral lists this ribosomal RNA (253 nucleotides) under uncultured bacterium. Its description in RNAcentral is "partial 16S ribosomal RNA". It matches the Rfam family "Bacterial small subunit ribosomal RNA", at positions 524 to 776 of the family's 1533-position model. The record is from RNAcentral.